RNAcentral lists this ribosomal RNA (406 nucleotides) under uncultured bacterium. RNAcentral's name for it is "partial 16S ribosomal RNA". It matches the Rfam family "Bacterial small subunit ribosomal RNA", at positions 30 to 526 of the family's 1533-position model. The record is from RNAcentral.
AUUGAACGCUGGCGGCAGGCCUAACACAUGCAAGUCGAACGAGUGGCGGACGCGUGAGUAAUGUCUGGGAAACUCCCUGUGGGAGAGGGAUAACUACUGGAGAAGGUGGCUCAUACCGCAUACCAUCAGAUGUGCCCCGAUGGGAUUAGCUAGUAGGUGGGGUAACGGCUCACCUAGGCGACGAUCCCUAGCUGGUCUGAGAGGAUGACCAGCCACACGGGAACUGAGACACGGUCCAGACUCCUACGGGAGGCAGCAGUGGGGAAUAUUGCACAAUGGGCGCAAGCCUGAUGCAGCCAUGCCGCGUGUAUGAAGAAGGCCUUCGGGUUGUAAAGUACUUUCAGCGGGGAGGCGUUACCCGCAGAAGAAGCACCGGCUAACUCCGUGCCAGCCGCCGCGGUAAUAC